Molecule: ribosomal RNA, 497 nt
Filed under: uncultured bacterium
Lineage: Bacteria
Description: partial 16S ribosomal RNA
Rfam family: Bacterial small subunit ribosomal RNA
Source: RNAcentral
GAUGAACGCUGGCGGCGUGCCUAAUACAUGCAAGUCGAGCGAACAGACGAGGAGCUUGCUCCUCUGACGUUAGCGGCGGACGGGUGAGUAACACGUGGAUAACCUACCUAUAAGACUGGGAUAACUUCGGGAAACCGGAUCUAAUACCGGAUAAUAUAUUGAACCGCAGGGUUCAAUAGUGAAAGACGGUUUUGCUGACACUAAUAGAUGGAUCCGCGCCGCAUUAGCUAGUUGGUAAGGUAACGGCUUACCAAGGCGGCGAUGCGUAGCCGACCUGAGAGGGUGAUCGGCCACACUGGAACUGAGACACGGUCCAGACUCCUACGGGAGGCAGCAGUCGGGAAUCUUCCGCAAUGGGCGAAAGCCUGACGGAGCAACGCCGCGUGAGUGAUGAAGGUCUUCGGAUCGUAAAGCUCUGUUAUUAGGGAAGAACAAAUGUGUAAGUAACUGUGCUCGUCUUGACGGUACCUAAUCAGUAAGCCCCGGCUAACUACGUG